GCACGGUAACGUGUGAAGCUGACCGAUACUAAUCCGCCGAGGGCUUGACCU
RNAcentral lists this ribosomal RNA (51 nucleotides) under Flavonifractor sp. An10. RNAcentral's name for it is "partial 23S ribosomal RNA". Lineage: Bacteria; Bacillati; Bacillota; Clostridia; Eubacteriales; Oscillospiraceae. The record is from RNAcentral.